CGGGUGAGUAAUGCCUAGGAAUCUGCCUGGUAGUGGGGGACAACGUUUCGAAAGUAACGCUAAUACCGCAUACGUCCUACGGGAGAAAGCAGGGGACCUUCGGGCCUUGCGCUAUCAGAUGAGCCUAGGUCGGAUUAGCUAGUUGGUGAGGUAAUGGCUCACCAAGGCGACUAUCCGUAACUGGUCUGAGAGGAUGAUCAGUCACACUGGAACUGAGACACGGUCCAG
This 228-nucleotide ribosomal RNA is filed under the name uncultured Pseudomonadales bacterium. RNAcentral's name for it is "partial 16S ribosomal RNA". It matches the Rfam family "Bacterial small subunit ribosomal RNA", at positions 103 to 334 of the family's 1533-position model. The record is from RNAcentral. Lineage: Bacteria; Pseudomonadati; Pseudomonadota; Gammaproteobacteria; Pseudomonadales.